GGAGUUGUGGCUCAGUGGUAGAGUGCUCACCUGGCAUGUGUGAGGUACUGGUUUCAAUCUUUAGCACCA
Ictidomys tridecemlineatus (thirteen-lined ground squirrel) is the source of this 69-nucleotide non-coding RNA. The record is from Rfam. NCBI's taxonomy places the organism in Eukaryota, Metazoa, Chordata, Mammalia, Rodentia, Sciuridae.